GCUGAUGCAGCGACGCCGCGUGAGCGAAGAAGGCCUUCGGGUUGUAAAGCUCUGUCCUAGGGGACGAUAAUGAAGGGACCCUAAGAGGAAGCCCCGGCUAAUUUCCUGCCAGCAGCCCCGGUAUUUAUACAUGCCAGCAGCCGCGGUAAUAACUAGC
Molecule: ribosomal RNA, 157 nt
Filed under: uncultured Clostridium sp.
Lineage: Bacteria; Bacillati; Bacillota; Clostridia; Eubacteriales; Clostridiaceae
Description: partial 16S ribosomal RNA
Rfam family: Bacterial small subunit ribosomal RNA
Source: RNAcentral